This 776-nucleotide ribosomal RNA is filed under the name uncultured Neocallimastigales. RNAcentral describes it as "partial large subunit ribosomal RNA". It matches the Rfam family "Eukaryotic large subunit ribosomal RNA", at positions 24 to 643 of the family's 3401-position model. Lineage: Eukaryota; Fungi; Neocallimastigomycota; Neocallimastigomycetes; Neocallimastigales. The record is from RNAcentral.
AUAUCUCUGUAGAGUCUGCAUAUCAAUAAGCGGAGGAAAAGAAACUAACUAGGAUUCCCUCAGUAACGGCGAGUGAAGCGGGAAGAGCUCAAAUUUGAAAUCUUCAAGGUUCUACCUUGACGAAUUGUAGUUUAAAGUAAGUGUUUUCUGUUGGAGUUUUGGUAAAAGUUCUUUGGAAUAGGACAUCAUAGAGGGUGAGAAUCCCGUAUUUGACCAUUAUUUCCAGCUUUGUGAUACACUUUCAAAGAGUCGGAUUGUUUGGGAACGCAGUCCAAAAUGGGUGGUAAAUUUCAUCUAAAGCUAAAUAUUGGCGAGAGACCGAUAGCGAACAAGUAUCGUGAGGGAAAGAUGAAAAGAACUUUGAAAAGAGAGUUAAACAGUACGUGAAAUUGUCAAAAGGGAAGCGUUUGACACCAGUGUUGUUUUUCCGAAAAUCAAUUACGAAUGGCUUGAUUCUGUGUUGUAUUGACCUUAUCAGCUUUCUUCACUUUUUUCGAGUCUUUCUUAAUGCACUUUUCGGUUAACAAGUCAACAUCAAUUUCUUUUGUUGUAAAAGAGUAUUCGGAAGGUGGCUUUCUUUUCGGAGAAAGUGUUUAUAGCCCUAUACUUCUACAAUCGGAGAGAUUGAGGUCUGCAGCGUAGAUCCUUCGGGGUUAGAUACACUUGUGCUAAGUUGUAGCUUUUCAUAGACAACUUGUUGACUAUGUUUAGUCAUGCGGCUUACUCGCUUGUGCUAUUUUACCUACGCUUAGGAUGUUGAAGAUGUAGCACAUCAU